GCUUACGGCCAUACCACCCUGAGCACACCCGAUCUCAUCUAAUCUUGGAGGCUAAGCAGGGUCGGGCCUGGUUAGUACUUGGAUGGGAAACCGGCUGGGAAUACCAGGUGCUGUAAGCU
Betta splendens (Siamese fighting fish) is the source of this 119-nucleotide ribosomal RNA. The record is from Ensembl. Lineage: Eukaryota; Metazoa; Chordata; Actinopteri; Anabantiformes; Osphronemidae.